GAAUAUUGGACAAUGGGCGCAAGCCUGAUCCAGCCAUGCCGCGUGAGUGAUGAAGGCCUUAGGGUUGUAAAGCUCUUUCAGUGGGGACGAUAAUGACGGUACCCACAGAAAAAGCCCCGGCCAACUUCGUUCCAGCAGCCGCGGUAAUACGAAGGGGGCUAGCGUUGUUCGGAUUUACUGGGCGUAAAGCGCACGUAGGCGGAUUGUUAAGUUAGAGGUGAAAUCCUGGGGCUCAACUCCAGAACUGCCUUUAAUACUGGCAAUCUAGAGUCCGGAAGAGGUGAGUGGAACUCCUAGUGUAGAGGUGGAAUUCGUAGAUAUUAGGAAGAACACCAGUGGCGAAGGCGGCUCACUGGUCCGGUACUGACGCUGAGGUGCGAAAGCGUGGGGAGCAAACAGG
This 400-nucleotide ribosomal RNA is filed under the name uncultured bacterium. RNAcentral describes it as "bacterial SSU rRNA". It matches the Rfam family "Bacterial small subunit ribosomal RNA", at positions 359 to 776 of the family's 1533-position model. The record is from RNAcentral.